UCCGGAGGGGGCUAUCGUUGUUCGGAAUCACUGGGCGUAAAGCGCACGUAGGCGGAUUUGUUAGUCAGGGGUGAAAUCCCGGGGCUCAACCUCGGAACUGCCUUUGAUACUGCAGAUCUCGAGUCCGGAAGAGGUGAGUGGAAUUCCUAGUGUAGAGGUGAAAUUCGUAGAUAUUAGGAAGAACACCAGUGGCGAAGGCGGCUCACUGGUCCGGUACUGACGCUGAGGUGCGAAAGCGUGGGGAGCAAACAGG
Molecule: ribosomal RNA, 253 nt
Filed under: uncultured bacterium
Lineage: Bacteria
Description: partial 16S ribosomal RNA
Rfam family: Bacterial small subunit ribosomal RNA
Source: RNAcentral